AUUGAGCGCUGGCGGCAUGCUUUACACAUGCAAGUCGAACGGUAACAGGCCUUCGGGUGCUGACGAGUGGCGAACGGGUGAGUAAUGCAUCGGAACGUGCCCAAUCGUGGGGGAUAACGUAGCGAAAGUUACGCUAAUACCGCAUAAGCCCUGAGGGGGAAAGUGGGGGACCGCAAGGCCUCACGCGAAUGGAGCGGCCGAUGUCAGAUUAGCUAGUUGGUGGGGUAAAGGCCCACCAAGGCGACGAUCUGUAGCGGGUCUGAGAGGAUGAUCCGCCACACUGGGACUGAGACACGGCCCAGACUCCUACGGGAGGCAGCAGUGGGGAAUUUUGGACAAUGGGCGCAAGCCUGAUCCAGCCAUGCCGCGUGCGGGACGAAGGCCUCGG
Molecule: ribosomal RNA, 388 nt
Filed under: uncultured bacterium
Lineage: Bacteria
Description: bacterial SSU rRNA
Rfam family: Bacterial small subunit ribosomal RNA
Source: RNAcentral